This 253-nucleotide ribosomal RNA is filed under the name uncultured bacterium. Its description in RNAcentral is "partial 16S ribosomal RNA". It matches the Rfam family "Bacterial small subunit ribosomal RNA", at positions 524 to 776 of the family's 1533-position model. The record is from RNAcentral.
UACGGGGGGGGCAAGCGUUGUUCGGAAUUACUGGGCGUAAAGGGCUCGUAGGUGGCCAACUAAGUCAGACGUGAAAUCCCUCGGCUUAACCGGGGAACUGCGUCUGGUACUGGAUGGCUUGAGAUUGGGAGAGGGAUGCGGAAUUCCAGGUGUAGCGGUGAAAUGCGUAGAUAUCUGGAGGAACACCGGUGGCGAAGGCGGCAUCCUGGACCAACACUGACACUGAGGAGCGAAAGCCAGGGGAGCAAACGGG